This 366-nucleotide ribosomal RNA is filed under the name uncultured phototrophic eukaryote. RNAcentral describes it as "SSU rRNA". It matches the Rfam family "Bacterial small subunit ribosomal RNA", at positions 524 to 896 of the family's 1533-position model. The record is from RNAcentral.
GACGGGAGAUGCAAGCGUUAUUCGGAUUUAUUGGGCGUAAAGGGUUUGUAGGUUGUUGGUUAAGUCUAUGGUCAAAUUCCGAAGCUCAACUUCGGGCCGGCACUAGAAACUAAUCAACUUGAGUACGUUAGAGGCAGGGGGAAUUCCCAGUGUAGCGGUGAAAUGCGUAGAUAUUGGGAGGAACAUCAAUGGCGAAGGCACCCUGCUAGGCCGAUACUGACACUGAAAAACGAAAGCUAGGGGAGCAAAUGGGAUUAGAUACCCCAGUAGUCCUAGCUGUAAACGAUGGGGACUAAACUUUGGUUUUAAACAGAGUUAAAGCUAACGCGUUAAGUCCCCCGCCUGGGGAGUACGCCCGCAAGAGUG